GGUAGUCGCGCCCUUGAAGCACCUAAGCACAUAGAAAAUCAACGGCAGUCAACAGACUUCAUCUCAACUGAGUGUGCCGGUCCCAGUUUCUCCAGUGGAGUCGAUAUGUGUGAGUUGAGUCUAGCAGGGGCAGGGGAGUGAGAAUAGUCGACAGUUGAAUAGCUUGGCCAGAGAAAGAGGGAAUGAAUGAUCGGUCUCGUUCUGGAUCUCUUUCCUUGCGCCCUAGUCCAUUCCAUCUAUCUUGACUGCAACUUGGAUUCUUUCUUGACUGCUAUUUGGAUUGGUAGUCCGUCAAAUCUCUAAGCAGGUGGCUAGAAAACCUUCCGGAAUAGGAGGAAUAUCUGAUAGUUUCUCAUCAGGAAUGGAAUUC
This 370-nucleotide long non-coding RNA is filed under the name Hordeum vulgare. RNAcentral describes it as "long non-coding RNA (HVUL_LNC009074)". Lineage: Eukaryota; Viridiplantae; Streptophyta; Magnoliopsida; Poales; Poaceae. The record is from RNAcentral.